AGGAGGAACAGCCCCAGUGGCAGGACCAGCUCUGGAGCCCUGGAUUCAGCCCCCGCAGAACUCCAGAGGUCUCCGUCUGCAGGGCCUGGAGGCUCCGGGGCGGG
This 104-nucleotide microRNA precursor is filed under the name Canis lupus familiaris (dog). RNAcentral describes it as "mir-8834 microRNA precursor family". It matches the Rfam family "mir-8834 microRNA precursor family". RNAcentral also lists the same sequence under 1 other name. The record is from Rfam by way of RNAcentral. Lineage: Eukaryota; Metazoa; Chordata; Mammalia; Carnivora; Canidae.